This 450-nucleotide ribosomal RNA is filed under the name uncultured Glomeromycotina. RNAcentral's name for it is "SSU rRNA". It matches the Rfam family "Eukaryotic small subunit ribosomal RNA", at positions 569 to 1022 of the family's 1831-position model. Lineage: Eukaryota; Fungi; Glomeromycota. The record is from RNAcentral.
AGCAGCCGCGGUAAUUCCAGCUCCAAUAGCGUAUAUUAAAGUUGUUGCAGUUAAAAAGCUCGUAGUUGAAUUUCGGGAUCAAUAUGUCUGUCGUGCCUUCGGUACGUACGGGUAUAAUUGGUUUCUACCUUCUGAUGAACCUUGAUGCCAUUAAUUUGGUGUCUUGGGGACUCAGGACUGUUACCUUGAAAAAAUUAGAGUGUUUAAAGCAGGCAUACGCUUGAAUACAUUAGCAUGGAAUAAUGAAAUAGGACGUUCGAUUCUAUUUUGUUGGUUUCUAGGAUCGACGUAAUGAUUAAUAGGGAUAGUUGGGGGCGAUUAGUAUUCAAUUGUCAGAGGUGAAAUUCUUGGAUUUAUUGAAGACUAACUACUGCGAAAGCAUUUGCCAAGGAUGUUUUCAUUAAUCAAGAACGAAAGUUAGGGGAUCGAAGACGAUCAGAUACCGUCGUA